AGAGAUAGAGUUUCUUGUGCAGCUCCAAUGGAGAAGGGGACGCUCGGGCCUUGAACGUUCCCGAGAGCCGCCCGCGGCCGCUGCCGUGCGCCGAGAGCCGCGGAGUGGAGCCCCCAAAGGCGCAGCCGGAGUGGUGCGGGGCCGGGCCGGGCUCCGCCGGCGGGGAGAAGGGCGGCGGGCGGCGGCGGUGCCGGGGUGAGCGGCCUUUUCGCUGCUGCUGCGGCUCUGGCCCUGCCCGAGCACGGGCACCGCGGCUCCGGGCUGGAGUUAGCGAGGGGUCCGGGCUCGGCCGGGGUCCGCAGGGCGCUCAGGCUGUCUGCAGCUACAGGGGAAAGUGCCCCGGCGGUGCGGGUACGGGCUCCGCUUCUGCGGAGCUUAUUGCGGGCAGCAGCGCGGCUGUACGUGUGUAUCCGUGCCGUGUUGUUGUGUGUUUCAGGUCGAUAAAUAAAUGUGUAAUAGUUAAUGUGCAGACACAUCAGAGUAAUAACAAUGGGAUGAAAUCAAAGGAUUAUCAAUCUCUGUUAGUAACUGCUGAAUAACAAUGUUGCAGUGUGAUUGAUAGCGCGCUUCAUUUUAUGACUUUUCUAUUGCUCUUGAUUUUUAUAGCAGUAUAAACAAACUAAAUCAUUUCUUCCAAGACUUCAGAGCGCAAUCGUCUUAGGGGAAGGGGGGAAAUCAGAGAAGGAAGUCCGCGUGAGGGAAAAGGGAGAGCGGGGCUGACGCUUAAGCGUGUCAGAGAAAAAAAAAAAAAAAAAUGACAAUGGGGUAUAUGUAAAAAUCUCUAAUCACAUUCCGCUUCCGCACACUCUUGUUUUGUCAAGUGCCUGAAUUCACCUGGGCAGCGCUGGAGAUGUAUUUACAAGGAUUUUAUUUCCCGUCAUCUUUCCAUUUUCCCAGCGUAGCCAGAAAACUGCCAGUCAAGUCCAUUCCCUGUUAUAAUUUACGGUAUUCCCCACAUGAUCGUAGGAACUGAAGUUCUUAACAAGGAAAAGCUUUAGCGCAAUGGCCCAAAAUCUUCAGAGUGACAAGAGUGUCUUCAGAAAUCACUUCAGAGCAAAGUAAAA
RNAcentral lists this long non-coding RNA (1064 nucleotides) under Coturnix japonica (Japanese quail). Its description in RNAcentral is "lncRNA (ENSCJPG00005007971.1)". The record is from RNAcentral. Lineage: Eukaryota; Metazoa; Chordata; Aves; Galliformes; Phasianidae.